RNAcentral lists this transfer RNA (96 nucleotides) under Nocardia aurantia. RNAcentral's name for it is "tRNA-Ser". Lineage: Bacteria; Bacillati; Actinomycetota; Actinomycetes; Mycobacteriales; Nocardiaceae. The record is from RNAcentral.
UGUCCACGAUCGACGGAUUACCGGUCCAUGCGCUGCUGGUGCAUGUGAUCGUCGUGCUGGUACCGCUGACGGCCGUGCUUGCCGGCCUGUGCGCGG